UUCCGCAUCGGUGAAGUACUAACCCGGUAUUGCAAAACUAAAGCACACAGUAGCGUGCCUUGUGUCUGAAAUGAGCUUGCAUACUUGCCGGUUAACAAGCACAUAAGUCACAAAGAAGCCCAGAAUUCUGUGCCUCUGGACACCACAGCCUGAAUGAGGCUCCCACAGAAACAGCGACUCAAAGAACAAAGCUCCACCUGUGUUAAAGAGGCUGCAAGGCUGAUCGACUGACCAGAACCGUCGUGAUCGUGGAGAACUGGGAUGUUGUCCUCCGGAGCCACAUUAUCUUGGGCUAUCUUUAGUCCCCUUAAUAGUCAUUCAUUGCUCACUUCUGUGUUUGACCUAGCCUCUCUGUGGCAUUAUGUAAAUCUCUUGGAACAUCUAAACAGGCCCCUGGCCUCCACCAACACAGAGGCUGAGAACGACAUCAGAAGCACCUGAGACCUAGAGCAGACGUCCCCCAACUUGGCAGCAACACACCUGCCCGAUCUUUCCACUAAUAUAUUCUUAAACACCUUGAUUUAUGACUGUGUUCUGCUACUAUAAAAACUUCACGAAACUGUUA
Molecule: long non-coding RNA, 565 nt
Organism: Myodes glareolus (Bank vole)
Lineage: Eukaryota; Metazoa; Chordata; Mammalia; Rodentia; Cricetidae
Source: RefSeq, a predicted model, not a curated record